Non-coding RNA from Odocoileus virginianus texanus, 461 nucleotides. The record is from RefSeq and is a predicted model, not a curated record. NCBI's taxonomy places the organism in Eukaryota, Metazoa, Chordata, Mammalia, Artiodactyla, Cervidae.
UCUGAGCAGAAACAAAAAUGACAGAAAUAACCAGCAGUGCCCAAAUCCACAGAAUUCCCGACAGCAGCAAAAACAAGUACAGAGGCUUAAAGGUUGAAUAAUGUUUAAAGGUAGAAUAAUGCUGGGAUGUUCAAGAAGCAAAGAAGGUUAAAGGAGCACAAGUGAAAUCAACUGAGGGAAGAGCAUUUGGGAGGACCAGAUUAUACAAUGAGAGCAAAAGAGACAAAAUGCUACCCUCAUGAAUGAAUAUUCCACGGAUGUAUGAUGAAGCGCAAGAACUGAGGGCAAGCUGACUGGGUGGGCAGCUCACCAGCCACGGCUCCAGAAGAUAGGUUGGAAGCAAAGGUCAUCUUUCCUUUGGAAAGAGUUUCAUGCCCCAAGCCAAAUGGACAAUGAUCAGGAGCAGAGGGACUUUGUGUCUCCUUUCUUCAGCCAAGUCUCUUGCAACCUGUUUGCUAUUU